CAAACUACAUUUCCCCUUCUUCUGUGUGGAUACCAAUAUUUCCCUGACAUAUAAGACACAGGUCUCCACUACUCCACUACUGCAGGGACUAGACAAGUUCUUACAUGGUGAACAAUGCAAGGGCAUUCAUACCAUAGAAACUGUUUCUGUAUUAACUACAAACCUUGAACUAUAAACAAUCAAGUCAAAUAUGAUGUAUGAUUAUUCAUUUGAUUUUUAUACUUUAUAUGUAAUUCUAAUAAAAUGUUGAUGUAGUAGGUAAAUGCAAGAUAUAGAUAGAAAGCAUGAUUCAGUGCUGUAAGAAAGCAAGUGUAGAUGAUUAUGUCUGUGCCUAUAGACUAGGUAUUAAUCCAGGCUGGACAAGGGCAACAAAACAUCCACGGGUGUAGACAAAUUCUCCCAAAACUGGGGGGGUGAGGUUCUAAGCCUCACCUCUGUUGGCCCCCAUUUUCUCACCUGAUGGCCCCCCUGCAACUGUGCCUGUCUUAGGUUGUUCCUCCCUUGAGGAAUCUUACCCAUCUAUGGCUAACCAGCCAUCUUCUGGGGCCACACAGGGAGAUGUAAAGCUGGAGCACUGUCCUGAAAAGCUCCUGGGAAACUUAUGUUCUCAUCCUUUCCACACUGCUCAGCAAAGGUUAGUUAACCCUUAGCAAAAAUGCAGGUAAAAGCAAACCCAAUAAUAUAAUAGAAAAAGCAAAAUCAAGGUGGGUAAUAGGGGGAGCCAGCUGUGAAGGCCCCUGCUUUGUGGGGGUCUUCUUCCAGCCUGAGCUUUGCUACACAGCUUGAAUGGCA
Molecule: long non-coding RNA, 792 nt
Organism: Manis pentadactyla (Chinese pangolin)
Lineage: Eukaryota; Metazoa; Chordata; Mammalia; Pholidota; Manidae
Exons: 2
Source: RefSeq, a predicted model, not a curated record